This 253-nucleotide ribosomal RNA is filed under the name uncultured bacterium. RNAcentral's name for it is "partial 16S ribosomal RNA". It matches the Rfam family "Bacterial small subunit ribosomal RNA", at positions 524 to 776 of the family's 1533-position model. The record is from RNAcentral.
UACGUAGGGUGCAAGCGUUGUCCGGAAUUAUUGGGCGUAAAGAGCUCGUAGGCGGCUUGUCGCGUCGACCGUGAAAACUUGGGGCUCAACCCCAAGCCUGCGGUCGAUACGGGCAGGCUCGAGUUCGGUAGGGGAGACUGGAAUUCCUGGUGUAGCGGUGAAAUGCGCAGAUAUCAGGAGGAACACCGGUGGCGAAGGCGGGUCUCUGAGCCGUAACUGACGCUGAGGAGCGAAAGCGUGGGGAGCGAACAGG